CCUACGGGUGGCAGCAGUGAGGAAUAUUGGUCAAUGGACGCAAGUCUGAACCAGCCAUGCCGCGUGCAGGCAGACGGCUCUAUGAGUUGUAAACUGCUUUUGUACGAGGAUAAACGCAGAUACGCGUAUCUGUCUGCAAGUAUCGUACGAAUAAGGAUCGGCUAACUCCGUGCCAUCAGCCGCGGUAAUACGGAUGAUUCAAGCGUUAUCCGGAUUUCUUGGGUUUAAAGGGUGCGUAGGCGGUCGUAUAAGUUAGAGGUGAAAUCCCGAGGCUCAACUUCGGAAUUGCCUCUGAUACUGUUCGGCUAGAGAGUAGUUGCGGUAGGCGGAAUGUAUGGUGUAGCGGUGAAAUGCUUAGAGAUCAUACAGAACACCGAUUGCGAAGGCAGCUUACCAAGCUACUUCUGACGUUGAGGCACGAAAGCGUGGGGAGCAAACAGGAUUAGAUACCCGGGUAGUC
Molecule: ribosomal RNA, 460 nt
Filed under: uncultured bacterium
Lineage: Bacteria
Description: partial 16S ribosomal RNA
Rfam family: Bacterial small subunit ribosomal RNA
Source: RNAcentral